UGGGGAAUAUUGCACAAUGGGCGCAAGCCUGAUGCAGCCAUGCCGCGUGUGUGAAGAAGGCCUUCGGGUUGUAAAGCACUUUCAGUCGUGAGGAAGGUAGUGUAGUUAAUAGCUGCAUUAUUUGACGUUAGCGACAGAAGAAGCACCGGCUAACUCCGUGCCAGCAGCCGCGGUAAUACGGAGGGUGCGAGCGUUAAUCGGAAUUACUGGGCGUAAAGCGCAUGCAGGUGGUUUGUUAAGUCAGAUGUGAAAGCCCGGGGCUCAACCUCGGAAUAGCAUUUGAAACUGGCAGACUAGAGUACUGUAGAGGGGGGUAGAAUUUCAGGUGUAGCGGUGAAAUGCGUAGAGAUCUGAAGGAAUACCGGUGGCGAAGGCGGCCCCCUGGACAGAUACUGACACUCAGAUGCGAAAGCGUGGGGAGCAAACAGG
RNAcentral lists this ribosomal RNA (429 nucleotides) under uncultured bacterium. RNAcentral describes it as "bacterial SSU rRNA". It matches the Rfam family "Bacterial small subunit ribosomal RNA", at positions 355 to 776 of the family's 1533-position model. The record is from RNAcentral.